UAGGGAAUCUUCGGCAAUGGACGAAAGUCUGACCGAGCAACGCCGCGUGAGUGAAGAAGGUUUUCGGAUCGUAAAACUCUGUUGUUAGAGAAGAACAAGGACGUUAGUAACUGAACGUCCCCUGACGGUAUCUAACCAGAAAGCCACGGCUAACUACGUGCCAGCAGCCGCGGUAAUACGUAGGUGGCAAGCGUUGUCCGGAUUUAUUGGGCGUAAAGCGAGCGCAGGCGGUUUCUUAAGUCUGAUGUGAAAGCCCCCGGCUCAACCGGGGAGGGUCAUUGGAAACUGGGAGACUUGAGUGCAGAAGAGGAGAGUGGAAUUCCAUGUGUAGCGGUGAAAUGCGUAGAUAUAUGGAGGAACACCAGUGGAGAAGGCGGCUCUCUGGUCUGUAACUGACGAUGAGGCUCGAAAGCGUGGGGAGCAAACAGG
RNAcentral lists this ribosomal RNA (429 nucleotides) under Gemmatimonadota bacterium. Its description in RNAcentral is "Gemmatimonadetes bacterium partial 16S ribosomal RNA". It matches the Rfam family "Bacterial small subunit ribosomal RNA", at positions 355 to 776 of the family's 1533-position model. The record is from RNAcentral. Lineage: Bacteria; Pseudomonadati; Gemmatimonadota.